AUUGAACGCUGGCGGCAUGCCUUACACAUGCAAGUCGAACGGCAGCGGGGGAGAAGCUUGCUUUUCCUGCCGGCGAGUGGCGAACGGGUGAGUAAUACAUCGGAACGUGCCCUGUAGUGGGGGAUAACUAGUCGAAAGAUUAGCUAAUACCGCAUACGACCUGAGGGUGAAAGUGGGGGACCGCAAGGCCUCAUGCUAUAGGAGCGGCCGAUGUCUGAUUAGCUAGUUGGUGGGGUAAAGGCCUACCAAGGCGACGGUCAGUAGCUGGUCUGAGAGGACGAUCAGCCACACUGGGACUGAGACACGGCUCAGACUCCUACGGGAGGCAGCAGUGGGGAAUUUUGGACAAUGGGCGAAAGCCUGAUCCAGCAAUACCGCGUGUGUGAAGAAGGCCUUCGGGUUGUAAAGCACUUUUGUCCGGAAAGAAAUGGCUCUGGUUAAUACCUGGGGUCGAUGGCGGUACCGGAAGAAUAAGGACCGGCUAACUACGUGCCAGCCGCCGCCGUAA
Molecule: ribosomal RNA, 508 nt
Filed under: uncultured bacterium
Lineage: Bacteria
Description: partial 16S ribosomal RNA
Rfam family: Bacterial small subunit ribosomal RNA
Source: RNAcentral